RNAcentral lists this long non-coding RNA (241 nucleotides) under Trifolium pratense (red clover). RNAcentral's name for it is "long non-coding RNA (TPRA_LNC011408)". Lineage: Eukaryota; Viridiplantae; Streptophyta; Magnoliopsida; Fabales; Fabaceae. The record is from RNAcentral.
GAAAUCAUUGAAAGACAAUAAGAAAUGCAUCACAUUCUGACAAAAUGGAUUGAAUUGAGAUCAAACUUGGAGUAUCUUUUUUUCUUAUCUUGCUUUAUCAAUAAUUAUGAGUUGGAUACAACUUGAAAUAUCAAUGAUGUAUUCUCUUAAUGAAUGAAUCAACAGAGUGAUCAAAUGAUGUAUUUUUUCAAUAGUGUUAUGUUCAUCAUUAUUUAUAUAUGAAAUUUUAUAUGUACCUCAC